This 253-nucleotide ribosomal RNA is filed under the name uncultured bacterium. RNAcentral describes it as "partial 16S ribosomal RNA". It matches the Rfam family "Bacterial small subunit ribosomal RNA", at positions 524 to 776 of the family's 1533-position model. The record is from RNAcentral.
UACAGAGGUCUCGAGCGUUAGGCGGAAUCACUGGGCUUAAAGCGUGUGUAGGCGGAUCGUUAAGUACCUUGUGAAAUCCCACAGCUCAACCGUGGAACUGCUUGGCAUACUGGCGGUCUUGAGCAACCUAGGGGCGAGCGGAACAAAUGGUGGAGCGGUGAAAUGCGUAGAUAUCAUUUGGAACGCCAAUGGUGAAAACAGCUCGCUGGGGGUUUGCUGACGCUGAGACACGAAAGCCAGGGGAGCAAACGGG